AAUAGGAACGUGGCCGAUAGUGAAAAAUAACUGAAUAAGUAAUAGGCGGAGCUAUAAAUAAACAGAGAACACCUGGAAGAGGGGUCUUUUUCCCCUGUGAACAAGAAGACCAAUUUUCAUUUCCAUCGCAUUUUACUACUUUCUAGUAGUCUAUUUGUAACCCUUUUUACUUUCCCUACAUUUGCUGCAUUUUCUAGGAAUAGUCUGUAGAUUAGAUUUUUUUACUCUAA
Molecule: long non-coding RNA, 230 nt
Filed under: Ananas comosus (pineapple)
Lineage: Eukaryota; Viridiplantae; Streptophyta; Magnoliopsida; Poales; Bromeliaceae
Description: long non-coding RNA (ACOM_LNC012083)
Source: RNAcentral